GACGAACGCUGGCGGCGUGCUUAACACAUGCAAGUGGAGCGACGAACCAGGGCUUGCCCUGGGGCAGAGCCGCGAACGGGUGAGUAACACGUGGGUAACGUGCCCCGAUGACUGGGACAACCCGGGGAAACCCGGGCUAAUACCGGAUGUGCCCCCUCACAUCAGUGAGGUGUGUAAAGGAAGCUUCGGCCUCCGCAUCGGGAUCGGCCCGCGGCCCAUUAGCUUGUUGGUGAGGUAACGGCUCACCAAGGCUGCGAUGGGCAGCUGGUCUGAGAGGACGAUCAGCCACACUGGGACUGAGACACGGCCCAGACUCCUACGGGAGGCAGCAGCGGGGAAUCUUGCGCAAUGCGCGAAAGCGUGACGCAGCAACGCCGCGUGGGAGAAGACGGCCUUCGGGUUGUAAACCCCUUUCAGUUGGGACGAAGGUCGGGCGGUUAACAGCCGUUCCGGCUGACGGUACCUGCACAAGAAGCCCCGGCUAACUACGUG
This 492-nucleotide ribosomal RNA is filed under the name uncultured bacterium. Its description in RNAcentral is "partial 16S ribosomal RNA". It matches the Rfam family "Bacterial small subunit ribosomal RNA", at positions 28 to 507 of the family's 1533-position model. The record is from RNAcentral.